UACGGAGGGUGCAAGCGUUGUUCGGAAUCACUGGGCGUAAAGCGCGUGUAGGCGGUCCGCUAAGUCUGGUGUGAAAGCCCGGGGCUCACCCCCGGAAGUGCACUGGAAACUGACGGACUCGAGUCCCGGAGAGGAGAGUAGAAUUCCUGGUGUAGCGGUGAAAUGCGUAGAUAUCAGGAGGAAUACCGGUGGCGAAGGCGGCUCUCUGGACGGUGACUGACGCUGAGACGCGAAAGCGUGGGGAGCAAACAGG
Molecule: ribosomal RNA, 253 nt
Filed under: uncultured bacterium
Lineage: Bacteria
Description: partial 16S ribosomal RNA
Rfam family: Bacterial small subunit ribosomal RNA
Source: RNAcentral